RNAcentral lists this long non-coding RNA (675 nucleotides) under Equus asinus (donkey). RNAcentral's name for it is "lncRNA (ENSEASG00005030176.1)". The record is from RNAcentral. Lineage: Eukaryota; Metazoa; Chordata; Mammalia; Perissodactyla; Equidae.
CUCAUUUGCUCUGAAGGAAGCUGACCAGCACAUUGUGAGGACACGCAAGCAGCCCCAUGGGGAGUCCAUGUGGGGAGGGACUGAGGCCUCCUGCUAUUGGCCAGCAUCAUCUUGCCGAUAGCCAGAUGAAGAGACGAGGCUGAGAAAGAGCCCAGGACAAGGUGGUGACAAAAGCAGGAUGCAGGACCCAAAUUCCCCUUCGAGAGCUCUUCCUCCUCCAGCCGGGAAAUUCCGUUCGGCUCAUUGUCUUUGGCCUCAAACUCCCGGGGGAAGGGACGGAACCUGGGAGGCUGAGGAAAACCAGAUGCCUAAUCGAUGCUCCUGCAUUUGACAAGGGCGCUGGGGGUGGACGGGCCUGGAGCUGCGCGGCAAACAUUUCAGACUCUUUUGCAUCCUGAAAAUGGCUCUGGGUGUGGAGACAGCCCGGGGAGGAGGCCGUCUGGGACCAUAUGACGCUUGCCAGUGGCAUGAAGGCUGUUAGAGCCAUGGUAGCAACAUUACUUACCCUCCUCCCUUCUCUUGAACAGUGACGAGGCUCCCCCCACUUCACGGGAAGCACACGAAAUCUGGCCCCCAGAGAGGUGGGAUUGAAAACCUGACAGUUUGGACAUACAGCCCGUGGGCAAUGUUUCCCUUCUCCCGGGCUUGUGUCUGUGCCAAGAAUUCCUAACAAAG